AGAGUUUGAUCCUGGCUCAGGACGAACGCUGGCGGCGUGCCUAAUACAUGCAAGUUGAACGAUGAUUUCUGGUACUUGUAUCAGAAUGAAGAGUAGCGAACGGGUGAGUAACGCGUGGGUAACCUACCUCUUAGCGGGGGACAACUAUUGGAAACGAUAGCUAAUACCGCAUAACAAUGCUUAACACAUGUUGAGUAUUUGAAAGUACCAAUUGGUACACUAGGAGAUGGACCCGCGUUGUGUUAGCUAGUUGGUAGUGUAAUGGACUACCAAGGCGAUGAUACAUAGCCGACCUGAGAGGGUGAUCGGCCACAUUGGGACUGAGACACGGCCCAAACUCCUACGGGAGGCAGCAGUAGGGAAUCUUCGGCAAUGGACGAAAGUCUGACCGAGCAACGCCGCGUGAGUGAAGAAGGUUUUCGGAUCGUAAAACUCUGUUGUUAGAGAAGAACGUUGUGUAGAGUGGAAAAUUACACAAGUGACGGUAUCUAACCAGAAAGGGACGGCUAACUACGUGCCAGCAGCCGCGGUAAUACGUAGGUCCCGAGCGUUGUCCGGAUUUAUUGGGCGUAAAGCGAGCGCAGGUUGUUUAAUAAGUCUGAUGUAAAAGGCAGUGGCUCAACCAUUGUGUGCAUUGGAAACUGUUAGACUUGAGUGCAGUAGAGGAGAGUGGAAUUCCAUGUGUAGCGGUGAAAUGCGUAGAUAUAUGGAGGAACACCGGUGGCGAAAGCGGCUCUCUGGACUGUAACUGACACUGAGGCUCGAAAGCGUGGGUAGCAAACAGGAUUAGAUACCCUGGUAGUCCACGCCGUAAACGAUGAGUGCUAGUUGUUUGGGGCUAUCCAGCCCUAAGUGUCGCAGCAAACGCAUUAAGCACUCCGCCUGGGGAGUACGACCGCAAGGUUGAAACUCAAAGGAAUUGACGGGGGCCCGCACAGCGGUGGAGCAUGUGGUUUAUCGAGCACGCGAGACUUACAGUCUUGACAUACCAGUGCUAUUCUUAGAGAUAAGAAGUUACUUCGUACACUGA
This 1030-nucleotide ribosomal RNA is filed under the name uncultured Lactococcus sp. RNAcentral describes it as "bacterial SSU rRNA". It matches the Rfam family "Bacterial small subunit ribosomal RNA", at positions 8 to 1032 of the family's 1533-position model. Lineage: Bacteria; Bacillati; Bacillota; Bacilli; Lactobacillales; Streptococcaceae. The record is from RNAcentral.